AUAAUCAUUAAACAUAUUAAGAAGAAAAAACUACAGUUCUUUCUGAUUAUGCCUACUGGUUUGUGUGCUCUAGGGCAGAAUUCUUUCCUACCAACUUUUAUUGCUAUCACCAAAUUGGAGCAAAAGGAUAAACUUCAAUGGUUACUUCAAUCCCAGAGGGAUAUUUAAUGUUUUGUUAAAAGAAAGCGAAACAAAAGAAAAUCUUGGGGCAUCAGUGAUUCUGUGCAGCAUAUAAGAUACCCAGUGCCAACACAGACCAGGAAUUAUGUUUAUCCAAAGGAAAACAAAUUUAUAACAUUCCACUCACUGUUACAAUAGAGCAGAAUUUUAAUUAGGCAGAAUAUCAUGGCAACUUGUUCAAGAAGCAUGAUUCAUAUUAGAGACAUUUACAGAUGUAAGAUAAUCUAAAUAUAACAAGAAGUCAUUCCUUAUUAAUAAGUAGCUAAUGGUAAAAAAACUUCUUCAAAGCAAGUGGGAGCAUAGAAAUCCUCUUGAGCAUAUCUUGGGUAAAAACAAAGUAGUUAAAAGCAAGUUUAAAAUAUGUUUAUGCAGAAGCCUAAGAAUUUUCUGAUAAUAUUAGGAGAAAGAUAUAACCAGUGAUUCCAAAGUAGAAGGACACAUGCAAUAGCAGCAUGGUACAUGCAGGAAAUGAUUGGAAGAGGACAAUUCUCUUGAAUUAAAGGAAAAAAGAGAGAGAAAGAGAGCCACAGGACAAGAAGAGAGGCAAUUACCUACCAUUGCUAAGUUAAGGAUUUUCAUCAUACCUCAAAUUAUAUUUUAGAGUACAUAAUUAUGCCAGUUUAAAAAUAUAUAAUUUUCAUUUUAAAUUGUUAAUAUAAUCAUUAUCAAAUUAUCUCCUUUGUAGUUUUCACAAAGUAUUGACUUAGAAAAUUCUUUCAGGUUGGGGUUGUUUUUCUGGGUCAAUUGUUGUCAGCAUUUGUAGACAUAAAGGGCCUUCAUUUGAUACACAGCUUUCUAUGCAGAGCAUUGCUUCUGUGUAUAAGUGCAUAUUAUUCCAUGUCUACUCUCCUUUAAAUCUUAUGAGACUUCCAUAGAUCAAUUUGCAUUUAUAAGUACCCAUUUCAGUCUUACAACAUAAUUUUUCAGGUCUUAUUUUUCACCCUGUAAAGUUUUAGAAAUGACAAAGUGUACUAUCUUUAUUCCUGUCCUUUUCUCUUCUAAACAUAAUAAUUUUCUUGGGUUCAGGGAAAGUAUUGAUAAAUGCGUUUUGCAAUGCUCUGAGUAUUUGGCAGUUGGAAGGAUCUUCUGCCUAGUAGCGCAUAAAGCUAAGGAUAACUCUAUAACCCUUUAGGACAAAAUUGGGGACAAGCUACUUUAAACUUCAUUGGUGGAUAUAUAUAACAAUAUAUAAGAAAAAAGUUCUUAACUUCUAUCUGAUAAAUAUUGAAAAGGAAAAUCAUUAAAUAGCCUAGAUUCCAAUAAAAUUGGGAAAAAAACAUGCAGAAUAAGUGUUGUCUAAUAGUAAAUGCAAGGUAUAGCAUGACUUCUUUUUUCAUUGAGAUGUAAUGAUAAAUAGAUCUGCACAUAUUUUCGAAAAAAAUAAAAUGAUAUAAAAUGAGAUUUUGGCUUCUCACUACAUAUGCCAUAGAUUUGAGCAUCAGUGGUCAUCUAUUUAUACACAUGAUGCUUAUAAGAGAAAAUUUAAUGUUAAUGAAAAAGAAAGGGCGGCAGGAAUAAUAUGUAUCUCCCACCAUGGCAUACAUAAUGUAUGCUUGUAGAAUAGAGUGAUGAAUUAUAUAAAAAUACAUGGUGAUUAUUAUUUUAGAAACAAUAAAUUGAAUAGUUGAACAUUAAUUUAUCAGGAUUUUACCACUCUUACAUUAAUCAGCCUCUUUCCUCAACUAUAAAAUAAGGAGAUUAUCAUAGUGUAAAUCCAUAGGAUUGUUGGGAAGAUUUAGUGAGGAGUACUUAGGGCUGUGCUGGUGUAUGGUGUCAUACAAGCAUGGGCUAUUGUCCCAUCAUGGUACAGCAUUAGCUAACACUAUGGUGCUAAUCAUUUUGCAAGAUAUGUAUAUCAAGUCAACAUGUUGUACACCAUCAGCUUACACAAUAUGUCCAUUAUAUCUCAAUAAAACUGGGAAAAAAGCACACAGAAUAAGUGUUGUCUAAUAGUAAAUGCAAGUUUAAAUGAUAUUUAUACAAAUCUGACCAGGAACCAUGGGGUUGCAGGUUCGAUCCCUGGCCUUGUUCAGUGGGUUAAGGAUCCCGGCAUUGCUGAGAGCUGUGGUGUAGCUGCAGACACGGCUCAGAGCCUGCCUUGCUGUGGCUCUGGCGUAGGCUGGUGGCUACAGCUCCGAUUUGACCCCUAGCCUGGCAACCUCCAUAUGCUGUAGGAGUGGCCCAAGAAAUGGC
This 2373-nucleotide long non-coding RNA is filed under the name Sus scrofa (pig). Its description in RNAcentral is "lncRNA (ENSSSCG00000049834.1)". The record is from RNAcentral. Lineage: Eukaryota; Metazoa; Chordata; Mammalia; Artiodactyla; Suidae.